GACGAACGCUGGCGGCGUGCCUAACACAUGCAAGUCGAACGGAAAGGCCCUGCUUUUGUGGGGUGCUCGAGUGGCGAACGCGUGAGUAACACGUGAGUAACCUGCCCUUGACUUUGGGAUAACUUCAGGAAACUGGGGUUAAUACCGGAUAGGAGCUCCUGCUGCAUGGUGGGGGUUGGAGAGUUUCGGCGGUUGGGGAUGGACUCGCGGCUUAUCAGCUUGUUGGUGGGGUAGUGGCUUACCAAGGCAUUGACGGGUCGCCGGCUUGAGAGGGUGACCGGGCACAAUGGGCCUGAGGUACGACCCAGACGCCUACGGGAGGCAGCGGUGGGAAAUAUUGCACAAUGGGCGGAAGCCUGAUGCAACGACGCCGCGUGCGGGAUGACGGCCUUCGGGUUGUAAACCGCUUUCGCCUGUGACGAAGCGUGAGUGACGGUAAUGGGUAAAGAAGCACCGGCUAACUACGUG
This 468-nucleotide ribosomal RNA is filed under the name uncultured bacterium. RNAcentral's name for it is "partial 16S ribosomal RNA". It matches the Rfam family "Bacterial small subunit ribosomal RNA", at positions 28 to 507 of the family's 1533-position model. The record is from RNAcentral.